UACGUAGGGGGCAAGCGUUGUCCGGAAUCAUUGGGCGUAAAGCGCGUGUAGGCGGUUCGGUAAGUCUGCUGUGAAAGUCCAGGGCUCAACCCUGGGAUGCCGGUGGAUACUGCUGGGCUAGAGUACGGAAGAGGCAAGUGGAAUUCCCGGUGUAGCGGUGAAAUGCGCAGAUAUCGGGAGGAACACCUAUUGCGAAGGCAGCUCGCUGGGACGUUACUGACGCUGAGACGCGAAAGCGUGGGGAGCAAACAGG
Molecule: ribosomal RNA, 253 nt
Filed under: uncultured bacterium
Lineage: Bacteria
Description: partial 16S ribosomal RNA
Rfam family: Bacterial small subunit ribosomal RNA
Source: RNAcentral